GUAGGUGGCUUGUAAAGUGAAUAGUGAAACCUGGUGGCUCAACCAUACAGACUAUUAUUCAAACUCACAAGCUCGAGAGUAGCAGAGGUAACNUGGAAUUUCUUGUGUAGGAGUGAAAUCCGUAGAUAUAAGAAGGAACAUCAAUGGCGUAGGCAGGUUACUGGGCUAUUUCUGACACUGAGGCACGAAAGCGUGGGGAGCGAACCGGAUUAGAUACCCGGGUAGUCCACGCCGUAAACGAUGGAUACUAGCUGUUGGAGGUAUCGACCCCUUCAGUAGCGAAGCUAACGCGUUAAGUAUCCCGCCUGUGGAGUACGGUCGCAAGACUAAAACAUAAAGGAAUUGACGGGGACCCGCACAAGCGGUGGAUCGUGUUCUUUAAUUCGAUGAUAAACGAAGAACCUUACCAGGGUUUGACAUCCUUGGAAUUUCUGUGAAAGCAGAGAGUGCUUUAUUGAGCCAAGUGACAGGUGAUGCAUGGCCGUCGUCAGCUCGUGUCGUGAGAUGUUUGGUUAAGUCCAUCAACGAGCGCAACCCUUGUGAAUAGUUGUAUUUUUCUAUUCAGACUGCCCCGGUAACGGGGAGGAAGGAGGGGNAUGAUGUCAGGUCAGUAUUUCCCUUACACCCUGGGCUAGAAACACGAUACAAUGGUUAGUACAAUGCGCAGCGAAGCCCCGAGGUGGAGCAAAUCGCAUCAAAGC
Molecule: ribosomal RNA, 701 nt
Filed under: uncultured Candidatus Saccharibacteria bacterium
Lineage: Bacteria; Candidatus Saccharimonadota
Description: bacterial SSU rRNA
Rfam family: Bacterial small subunit ribosomal RNA
Source: RNAcentral